This 23-nucleotide microRNA is filed under the name Gallus gallus (chicken). Its description in RNAcentral is "gga-miR-7450-5p". Lineage: Eukaryota; Metazoa; Chordata; Aves; Galliformes; Phasianidae. The record is from miRBase by way of RNAcentral.
UCUGUUCUUAAGGAGGCUGAGGC